This 787-nucleotide ribosomal RNA is filed under the name uncultured Streptococcus sp. Its description in RNAcentral is "bacterial SSU rRNA". It matches the Rfam family "Bacterial small subunit ribosomal RNA", at positions 102 to 876 of the family's 1533-position model. The record is from RNAcentral. Lineage: Bacteria; Bacillati; Bacillota; Bacilli; Lactobacillales; Streptococcaceae.
ACGGGUGAGUAACGCGUAGGUAACCUGCCUGGUAGCGGGGGAUAACUAUUGGAAACGAUAGCUAAUACCGCAUAAGAACAUUUACUGCAUGGUAGAUGUUUAAAAGGUGCAAAUGCAUCACUACCAGAUGGACCUGCGUCGUAUUAGCUAGUAGGUGAGGUAACGGCUCACCUAGGCGACGAUACAUAGCCGACCUGAGAGGGUGAUCGGCCACACUGGGACUGAGACACGGCCCAGACUCCUACGGGAGGCAGCAGUAGGGAAUCUUCGGCAAUGGGGGGAACCCUGACCGAGCAACGCCGCGUGAGUGAAGAAGGUUUUCGGAUCGUAAAGCUCUGUUGUUAAGGAAGAACGAGUGUGAGAAUGGAAAGUUCAUACUGUGACGGUACUUAACCAGAAAGGGACGGCUAACUACGUGCCAGCAGCCGCGGUAAUACGUAGGUCCCGAGCGUUGUCCGGAUUUAUUGGGCGUAAAGCGAGCGCAGGCGGUUAGAUAAGUCUGAAGUUAAAGGCAGUGGCUCAACCAUUGUAGGCUUUGGAAACUGUUUAACUUGAGUGCAGAAGGGGAGAGUGGAAUUCCAUGUGUAGCGGUGAAAUGCGUAGAUAUAUGGAGGAACACCGGUGGCGAAAGCGGCUCUCUGGUCUGUAACUGACGCUGAGGCUCGAAAGCGUGGGGAGCGAACAGGAUUAGAUACCCUGGUAGUCCACGCCGUAAACGAUGAGUGCUAGGUGUUAGGUCCUUUCCGGGACUUAGUGCCGCAGCUAACGCAUUAAGCACUCCGCCUGG